GGGCGGUUAGCUCAUUGGCACGAGCCGUCGGCUCAUAACCGUCAGGCGAGGGUUCGAUUCCCUCACCGCCUACCA
RNAcentral lists this transfer RNA (75 nucleotides) under Burkholderia cepacia. RNAcentral's name for it is "tRNA-Ile". It matches the Rfam family "tRNA". Rfam says of the family: Transfer RNA (tRNA) molecules are approximately 80 nucleotides in length. Their secondary structure includes four short double-helical elements and three loops (D, anti-codon, and T loops). RNAcentral also lists the same sequence under 5 other names. The record is from RNAcentral. Lineage: Bacteria; Pseudomonadati; Pseudomonadota; Betaproteobacteria; Burkholderiales; Burkholderiaceae.